AUGUAUAUGUCUGUGUUUUUUGUAUGUUCACGUGUCUACCAAUUUUACAUUUUUUUUUACAUUUUUUUUUACAUUUUUUUUUUACAUUUUUUUUUUACAUUUUUUUUUACAUUUUUUUUUUACAUUUUUUUUUUUUUUUUUUUUUUUUUUCAGAACUAUAUUUAUAUGAGCAAUAGACCUAUACAUUAUAGCUACGCCACUAAAACGGUUUUGUCAGAUAGUGAGCUGAUUUACAAAAAUGUUACAUGUAACUCGUUUUACUUCUUUUAUAGCUUUAACAAAAUAAGUAUUGAUUUUUUAUUACAUUUUUUGAAAAGUUAUGAAGAUAAUAAUACCUUGAUAAAUGACUUACUUGGAUUAAAUAAAGAAGAAGAAUAUUUUGUUAUUAAUAAUCUGAGCGGUAUUAUAAAAUAUGUACAUUCGAACUAUGGAGCAAUACUUAAUGAAAAUUGUAGUGAUAAUAAUAUUAGAGACAGUGAAAGUGGUAAAAACUUACCCAGCUUAAUCAUAAAAAAAAUAAUAAAAAAAAUAAUAAAAAAAAUAAAAAAUAACAUAAAAAUAUUAGUUUUUACUACAAAAAUAUAUACUAUAUUUAAUAAUAAAAGCUUAUUAGUAGACAGAAAUAUUUUAUAUAGAAUUGUAAAAAUAACGUAUGAAAAUUUAGAAUCUUUUUUUUUUAUUAUAAGUGAUAAAUCAUUUAAUCAAUUUUAUGACUAUUUAUAUAAAUAUUAUAAAAAAAAUAAUAAAAUAAAAGAUUUAAAAACUAUUAUUAAAAUAAAAGGUGAAGUUUUUAAAACUUGUACUUAUAAUAAUUUUACAAAUAAAGAAGAAAAUAAUUUUAUUUUUGUUGAAAAAAAUAAAAUUAAUGAAUCUUUUGGAACAGGUAUUGUUCAUUUAGCUCCAUCUCAUGGUUUUACUGAUUUUAAUACAUAUUACAAAAAUAAUAAAUUAAAAAAAAAAAUUUACUUAAACGAGUUAAAUUUUCAAAAGAUAGAAAAAAAAAAAAAAACUGCAUUGAGUAGUAGUAGUAGUAGUACUCUCGACUGUUCUAGUAAAAGCGGGUUAAAUAAUAUUUUGAAAUUCAGUAAGGGGGGACAUAAUAUAGAUACAGGUUAUUAUUAUACAAAUAACACUAAAAAGGAUAAUAAGGACAAAAAUAAUAAAGACAAAAAUAAUAAAGACAAAAAUAAUGACAAAAAUAAUGACAAAAAUAAUGACAAAAAUAAUNNNNNNNNNNACAAAAAUAAUGACAAAAAUAAUGACAAAAAUAAUGACAAAAAUAAUAAAGACAAAAAUUAUCAGGACAAAAAUAACUGUUGUUACAACAUUCAUACAAAAAAACAAUCAGAAAUAAACGAAAAAAAAAAUGAAAGUUCUUUUUAUUUCGAUACAAUUAAUGAAAAUGUGAUUGAUGAAUAUGCAAAUUUAAAAAAAACAAUAUAA
RNAcentral lists this long non-coding RNA (1443 nucleotides) under Piliocolobus tephrosceles (Ugandan red Colobus). RNAcentral describes it as "lncRNA (ENSPTEG00000002216.1)". The record is from RNAcentral. Lineage: Eukaryota; Metazoa; Chordata; Mammalia; Primates; Cercopithecidae.